UGGGGAAUAUUGCACAAUGGGCGGAAGCCUGAUGCAGCGACGCCGCGUGAGGGAUGACGGCCUUCGGGUUGUAAACCUCUUUCAGCAGGGACGAAGCGUAAGUGACGGUACCUGCAGAAGAAGCACCGGCUAACUACGUGCCAGCAGCCGCGGUAAUACGUAGGGUGCGAGCGUUGUCCGGAAUUACUGGGCGUAAAGAGCUCGUAGGCGGUUUGUCACGUCGUCUGUGAAAUCCUAGGGCUUAACCCUGGACGUGCAGGCGAUACGGGCUGACUUGAGUACUACAGGGGAGACUGGAAUUUCUGGUGUAGCGGUGGAAUGCACAGAUAUCAGGAAGAACACCGAUGGCGAAGGCAGGUCUCUGGGUAGUAACUGACGCUGAGGAGCGAAAGCAUGGGUAGCGAACAGGAUUAGAUACCCUGGUAGUCCAUGCCGUAAACGGUGGGCGCUAGGUGUGGGGUUCCUUCCACGGGCUCCGCGCCGUAGCUAACGCAUUAAGCGCCCCGCCUGGGGAGUACGGCCGCAAGGCUA
RNAcentral lists this ribosomal RNA (531 nucleotides) under uncultured bacterium. Its description in RNAcentral is "bacterial SSU rRNA". It matches the Rfam family "Bacterial small subunit ribosomal RNA", at positions 355 to 896 of the family's 1533-position model. The record is from RNAcentral.